RNAcentral lists this ribosomal RNA (1871 nucleotides) under Escherichia coli. Its description in RNAcentral is "partial 23S ribosomal RNA". It matches the Rfam family "Bacterial large subunit ribosomal RNA", at positions 1 to 1898 of the family's 2925-position model. Lineage: Bacteria; Pseudomonadati; Pseudomonadota; Gammaproteobacteria; Enterobacterales; Enterobacteriaceae. The record is from RNAcentral.
GUUAAGCGACUAAGCGUACACGGUGGAUGCCCUGGCAGUCAGAGGCGAUGAAGGACGUGCUAAUCUGCGAUAAGCGUCGGUAAGGUGAUAUGAACCGUUAUAACCGGCGAUUUCCGAAUGGGGAAACCCAGUGUGUUUCGACACACUAUCAUUAACUGAAUCCAUAGGUUAAUGAGGCGAACCGGGGGAACUGAAACAUCUAAGUACCCCGAGGAAAAGAAAUCAACCGAGAUUCCCCCAGUAGCGGCGAGCGAACGGGGAGCAGCCCAGAGCCUGAAUCAGUGUGUGUGUUAGUGGAAGCGUCUGGAAAGGCGCGCGAUACAGGGUGACAGCCCCGUACACAAAAAUGCACAUGCUGUGAGCUCGAUGAGUAGGGCGGGACACGUGGUAUCCUGUCUGAAUAUGGGGGGACCAUCCUCCAAGGCUAAAUACUCCUGACUGACCGAUAGUGAACCAGUACCGUGAGGGAAAGGCGAAAAGAACCCCGGCGAGGGGAGUGAAAAAGAACCUGAAACCGUGUACGUACAAGCAGUGGGAGCACGCUUAGGCGUGUGACUGCGUACCUUUUGUAUAAUGGGUCAGCGACUUAUAUUCUGUAGCAAGGUUAACCGAAUAGGGGAGCCGAAGGGAAACCGAGUCUUAACUGGGCGUUAAGUUGCAGGGUAUAGACCCGAAACCCGGUGAUCUAGCCAUGGGCAGGUUGAAGGUUGGGUAACACUAACUGGAGGACCGAACCGACUAAUGUUGAAAAAUUAGCGGAUGACUUGUGGCUGGGGGUGAAAGGCCAAUCAAACCGGGAGAUAGCUGGUUCUCCCCGAAAGCUAUUUAGGUAGCGCCUCGUGAAUUCAUCUCCGGGGGUAGAGCACUGUUUCGGCAAGGGGGUCAUCCCGACUUACCAACCCGAUGCAAACUGCGAAUACCGGAGAAUGUUAUCACGGGAGACACACGGCGGGUGCUAACGUCCGUCGUGAAGAGGGAAACAACCCAGACCGCCAGCUAAGGUCCCAAAGUCAUGGUUAAGUGGGAAACGAUGUGGGAAGGCCCAGACAGCCAGGAUGUUGGCUUAGAAGCAGCCAUCAUUUAAAGAAAGCGUAAUAGCUCACUGGUCGAGUCGGCCUGCGCGGAAGAUGUAACGGGGCUAAACCAUGCACCGAAGCUGCGGCAGCGACACUAUGUGUUGUUGGGUAGGGGAGCGUUCUGUAAGCCUGUGAAGGUGUACUGUGAGGUAUGCUGGAGGUAUCAGAAGUGCGAAUGCUGACAUAAGUAACGAUAAAGCGGGUGAAAAGCCCGCUCGCCGGAAGACCAAGGGUUCCUGUCCAACGUUAAUCGGGGCAGGGUGAGUCGACCCCUAAGGCGAGGCCGAAAGGCGUAGUCGAUGGGAAACAGGUUAAUAUUCCUGUACUUGGUGUUACUGCGAAGGGGGGACGGAGAAGGCUAUGUUGGCCGGGCGACGGUUGUCCCGGUUUAAGCGUGUAGGCUGGUUUUCCAGGCAAAUCCGGAAAAUCAAGGCUGAGGCGUGAUGACGAGGCACUACGGUGCUGAAGCAACAAAUGCCCUGCUUCCAGGAAAAGCCUCUAAGCAUCAGGUAACAUCAAAUCGUACCCCAAACCGACACAGGUGGUCAGGUAGAGAAUACCAAGGCGCUUGAGAGAACUCGGGUGAAGGAACUAGGCAAAAUGGUGCCGUAACUUCGGGAGAAGGCACGCUGAUAUGUAGGUGAAGUCCCUCGCGGAUGGAGCUGAAAUCAGUCGAAGAUACCAGCUGGCUGCAACUGUUUAUUAAAAACACAGCACUGUGCAAACACGAAAGUGGACGUAUACGGUGUGACGCCUGCCCGGUGCCGGAAGGUUAAUUGAUGGGGUUAGCCGCAA